CAGCAGCCACGGGAACACGGAGGGUGCAAGCGUUAAUCGGAAUUACUGGGCGUAAAGCGCACGCAGGCGGUUUGUUAAGUCAGAUGUGAAAUCCCCGAGCUUAACUUGGGAACUGCAUUUGAAACUGGCAAGCUAGAGUCUUGUAGAGGGGGGUAGAAUUCCAGGUGUAGCGGUGAAAUGCGUAGAGAUCUGGAGGAAUACCGGUGGCGAAGGCGGCCCCCUGGACAAAGACUGACGCUCAGGUGCGAAAGCGUGGGGAGCAAACAGGAUUAGAUACCCCAGUAGUCCCUGUCUCUUAUAC
RNAcentral lists this ribosomal RNA (301 nucleotides) under uncultured bacterium. RNAcentral's name for it is "partial 16S ribosomal RNA". It matches the Rfam family "Bacterial small subunit ribosomal RNA", at positions 509 to 807 of the family's 1533-position model. The record is from RNAcentral.